This 557-nucleotide ribosomal RNA is filed under the name uncultured Alphaproteobacteria bacterium. RNAcentral describes it as "bacterial SSU rRNA". It matches the Rfam family "Bacterial small subunit ribosomal RNA", at positions 9 to 614 of the family's 1533-position model. The record is from RNAcentral. Lineage: Bacteria; Pseudomonadati; Pseudomonadota; Alphaproteobacteria.
GAGUUUGAUUCUGGCUCAGAGCGAACGCUGGCGGCAGGCCUAACACAUGCAAGUCGAGCGCCCAGCAAUGGGAGCGGCAGACGGGUGAGUAACGCGUGGGGAUCUGCCCGAUGGUACGGAAUAAUUCCGGGAAACUGGGACUAAUACCGUAUGUGCCCGUAAGGGGAAAGAUUUAUCGCCAUCGGAUGAACCCGCGUCGGAUUAGCUAGUUGGUGUGGUAAAGGCGCACCAAGGCGACGAUCCGUAGCUGGUCUGAGAGGAUGAUCAGCCACACUGGGACUGAGACACGGCCCAGACUCCUACGGGAGGCAGCAGUGGGGAAUAUUGGACAAUGGGCGCAAGCCUGAUCCAGCCAUGCCGCGUGAGUGAUGAAGGCCUUAGGGUUGUAAAGCUCUUUCGCCGGUGAAGAUAAUGACGGUAACCGGAGAAGAAGCCCCGGCUAACUUCGUGCCAGCAGCCGCGGUAAUACGAAGGGGGCUAGCGUUGCUCGGAAUCACUGGGCGUAAAGCGCACGUAGGCGGGUCGUUAAGUCAGAGGUGAAAGCCUGGAGCUCAACU